AUUGAACGCUGGCGGAAUGCUUUACACAUGCAAGUCGAGCGGCAGCGCGGGGGCAACCCUGGCGGCGAGCGGCGAACGGGUGAGUAAUACAUCGGAACGUGUCCUUGAGUGGGGGAUAGCUCGGCGAAAGCCGGAUUAAUACCGCAUAAGCUCUGAGGAGGAAAGCGGGGGACUGGUAACGGCCUCGCGCUGUUGGAGCGGCCGAUGUCGGAUUAGCUAGUUGGUGGGGUAAAGGCCCACCAAGGCGACGAUCCGUAGCUGGUCUGAGAGGAUGAUCAGCCACACUGGAACUGAGACACGGUCCAGACUCCUACGGGAGGCAGCAGUGGGGAAUUUUGGACAAUGGGGGCAACCCUGAUCCAGCCAUUCCGCGUGAGUGAAGAAGGCCUUCGGUU
Molecule: ribosomal RNA, 395 nt
Filed under: uncultured bacterium
Lineage: Bacteria
Description: bacterial SSU rRNA
Rfam family: Bacterial small subunit ribosomal RNA
Source: RNAcentral